Molecule: ribosomal RNA, 445 nt
Filed under: uncultured bacterium
Lineage: Bacteria
Description: bacterial SSU rRNA
Rfam family: Bacterial small subunit ribosomal RNA
Source: RNAcentral
CCCAGACUCCUACGGGAGGCAGCAGUGGGGAAUAUUGCACAAUGGGGGGAACCCUGAUGCAGCGACGCCGCGUGGGUGAAGGAGUACUUCGGUACGUAAAGCCCUAUCAGCAGGAAAGAAAAUGACGGUACCUGACUAAGAAGCCCCGGCUAACUACGUGCCAGCAGCCGCGGUAAUACGUAGGGGGCAAGCGUUAUCCGGAUUUACUGGGUGUAAAGGGAGCGUAGACGGCAGUGCAAGUCCGGAGUGAAAGCCCGGGGCUCAACCCUGGGACUGCUCUGGAAACUGUAAAGCUGGAGUGCGGGAGAGGCAGGCGGAAUUCCUGGUGUAGCGGUGAAAUGCGUAGAUAUCAGGAGGAACACCGGCGGCGAAGGCGGCCUGCUGGACCGUAACUGACGUUGAGGCUCGAAAGCGUGGGGAGCAAACAGGAUUAGAUACCCGCGUA